GAGUUUGAUCGUGGCUCAGAUUGAACGCUGGCGGCAUGCCUUACACAUGCAAGUCGAACGGCAGCACGGGAGCUUGCUCCUGGUGGCGAGUGGCGAACGGGUGAGUAAUGCAUCGGAACGUAUCCUGGAGUGGGGGAUAACGUAGCGAAAGUUACGCUAAUACCGCAUAUUCUGUGAGCAGGAAAGCGGGGGACCUUCGGGCCUCGCGCUCUUGGAGCGGCCGAUGUCGGAUUAGCUAGUUGGUGAGGUAAAGGCUCACCAAGGCGACGAUCCGUAGCAGGUCUGAGAGGAUGAUCUGCCACACUGGAACUGAGACACGGUCCAGACUCCUACGGGAGGCAGCAGUGGGGAAUUUUGGGACAAUGGGGGCAACCCUGAUCCAGCCAUGCCGCGUGAGUGAAGAAGGCCUCGGUUGUAAG
RNAcentral lists this ribosomal RNA (419 nucleotides) under bacterium enrichment culture clone ALO1_GLFRUDD03FR0Q2. Its description in RNAcentral is "bacterial SSU rRNA". It matches the Rfam family "Bacterial small subunit ribosomal RNA", at positions 9 to 429 of the family's 1533-position model. The record is from RNAcentral.